UCGAGAUGAGGUUUUCAGCCAAUUGGGUAUGUUUUAGCACCUCUACAUACGAGCUGGGUCUCAGCAUUGCAACCUGAUCAUAGAUAUCGGCACGAAGUCCUUUCAAAAACUUCUUAACUUUACAAAUUUUGGGGGUGACCAUUAGAGGAGCAAACCUAGACAGUUGGACAAAUCGGGUUACAUACUGGGAAACUGUUAGAUUUCCUUGGUAGAGGUCCUGAAAUUCCUCUUCUUUCUUUUUUUGGACAUAGGUUGGGAAAAAGUUAUCAGAGAACGCAUCCAUGAAAAUUUUCCAGGUGGU
Molecule: long non-coding RNA, 301 nt
Filed under: Carica papaya (papaya)
Lineage: Eukaryota; Viridiplantae; Streptophyta; Magnoliopsida; Brassicales; Caricaceae
Description: long non-coding RNA (CPAP_LNC013275)
Source: RNAcentral